This is a non-coding RNA of Camellia sinensis, 207 nucleotides long. NCBI's taxonomy places the organism in Eukaryota, Viridiplantae, Streptophyta, Magnoliopsida, Ericales, Theaceae. The record is from RefSeq and is a predicted model, not a curated record.
UUCUCAAGCUCACUUCUUUGCUUGAUUAUUGAGGGCAUACUUCAGGAGGGCCAAGCACUCCGCUGUAGCACUGUCAGCAACCAGGUGGUCAGUCCUAGCCAAGACGUCCGCUUUCUUUUGUCAACCUUCGUAUGUCCAGGCACUGUAUAAGCCAUUUAUGUUGUCAAGUUGUUAAGAUGUUGACUUGCUUAUGGGUGUCCCUCUAAG